This 706-nucleotide ribosomal RNA is filed under the name uncultured Actinomycetales bacterium. Its description in RNAcentral is "bacterial SSU rRNA". It matches the Rfam family "Bacterial small subunit ribosomal RNA", at positions 62 to 781 of the family's 1533-position model. Lineage: Bacteria; Bacillati; Actinomycetota; Actinomycetes; Actinomycetales. The record is from RNAcentral.
UCGAACGGAAAGGCCCUGCUUGCAGGGUACUCGAGUGGCGAACGGGUGAGUAACACGUGGGUGAUCUGCCCUGCACUUCGGGAUAAGCUUGGGAAACUGGGUCUAAUACCGGAUAGGACCGCACUUUAGUGUGUGUGGUGGAAAGUUUUUUCGGUGUAGGAUGAGCUCGCGGCCUAUCAGCUUGUUGGUGGGGUAAUGGCCUACCAAGGCGGCGACGGGUAGCCGGCCUGAGAGGGUGUACGGCCACAUUGGGACUGAGAUACGGCCCAGACUCCUACGGGAGGCAGCAGUGGGGAAUAUUGCACAAUGGGCGCAAGCCCGAUGCAGCGACGCCGCGUGGGGGAUGAAGGCCUUCGGGUUGUAAACUCCUUUCGCUAGGGACGAAGCUUUUUGUGACGGUACCUAGAUAAGAAGCACCGGCUAACUACGUGCCAGCAGCCGCGGUAAUACGUAGGGUGCGAGCGUUGUCCGGAAUUACUGGGCGUAAAGGGCUCGUAGGUGGUUUGUCGCGUCGUCUGUGAAAUUCUGGGGCUUAACUCCGGGCGUGCAGGCGAUACGGGCAUAACUUGAGUGCUGUAGGGGUAACUGGAAUUCCUGGUGUAGCGGUGAAAUGCGCAGAUAUCAGGAGGAACACCGAUGGCGAAGGCAGGUUACUGGGCAGUUACUGACGCUGAGGAGCGAAAGCAUGGGUAGCGAACAGGAUUAG